AGGAAAACAAGAGAAAGAGCCAGAACUGCAGGGGAGGAAAGGAGGAAAGGCAAGCUUGAGGAAACACAAUGCCUAUGAACUUUGAAAGGGACGGAAAAGUCCUCUCCCCAGCAGGACAGUCAUUUGUUUGAAGAGUAGUUCACAGUUUGAAGGGGCCCAGUGUCUGAAGAUACCCCCUGUUCAACUCUGGUUUAAAAAGACCAAAAACCACAAGAGGUGAAAGCAGCAUUUGCAAACAAGCAGCAACACUACUCAGUAACAAAAAUACUCUCCAAAAACAUGAGCAGUACUAUUGAGAAAGGACCAGAGUGAGGCUCUAUGAAUAAGGCAUUAAAGAGG
RNAcentral lists this long non-coding RNA (339 nucleotides) under Anolis carolinensis (green anole). RNAcentral describes it as "lncRNA (ENSACAG00000045297.1)". The record is from RNAcentral. Lineage: Eukaryota; Metazoa; Chordata; Lepidosauria; Squamata; Anolidae.